GACGAACGCUGGCGGCGUGCCUAAUACAUGCAAGUAGAACGCACAGUUUAUACCGUAGCUUGCUACACCAUAGACUGUGAGUUGCGAACGGGUGAGUAACGCGUAGGUAACCUGCCUGGUAGCGGGGGAUAACUAUUGGAAACGAUAGCUAAUACCGCAUAAUAUUAAUUAUUGCAUGAUAAUUAAUUGAAAGGUGCAAUUGCACCACUACCAGAUGGACCUGCGUUGUAUUAGCUAGUAGGUGAGGUAACGGCUCACCUAGGCGACGAUACAUAGCCGACCUGAGAGGGUGAUCGGCCACACUGGGCUUGAGCCACGGCCCACACUCCUCCGGGGGGCAGCAGUAGGGAAUCUUCGGCAAUGGACCAAAGUCUGACCGAGCAACGCCGCGUGAGUGAAGAAGGUUUUCGGAUCUUAAAGCUUUUUUUUAAGGGAAAAACGGGUGGGAGGGGGGAAAGUUCCCCCUGUGGCGGUAUUUUCCCAAAAAGGGCCGGCUACCUCCGU
Molecule: ribosomal RNA, 504 nt
Filed under: uncultured bacterium
Lineage: Bacteria
Description: partial 16S ribosomal RNA
Rfam family: Bacterial small subunit ribosomal RNA
Source: RNAcentral